CCAUUAAUACCUAAUUUUUUUUUUUAUGUAUAAAUUAUAAAAUGCAAUUUAUUUUCAGAAACGCCAAUAAUCUUAGCAGUUGAGGCGUAUUUAUAAAUAUAAUUAAUAUACAGCGUCUUAACGAAAACAGGGAACACUUUAUCACUCAUUAUCCUGUAUAUAUUUUUAAAUUCUGUUUGUGGGACAUUCAACUAGACUAAUACUCCCUUUACACUACUACACAAUAUAGUCAAUAACCAUUCGGAUCGUUAUGUGAUAAAUUACAACUUUUUUAUUAGUAUAUUAUGAUUUAUGCGUAUAUAAUAUAUAUAUAAUAUAUAUCAAUUUUUAGUAUAACAAUGCAGUAUACUCACAACAAUCGUUAAACAAUUUUUAAUAACUCGAUAAUAUUACUUUUAACUAAAUAAAUUAUUAGGUUUAAACUAGACUGUAGUCACUCAGUCACUGAAUCUUUAAUUUGGGAUACCCACACUUUUGCACGAGCAAUUAUUGCUAUUCGCACCGUUACAAGUGUUGUAGUGGUAAUAGUAUAAUAUAAAUUAUAAUAUACACGGCCGUGUUUAAUACAUUCAAUUUGUGAUAACAUUUGUGUACAGGAAAUGUAACAAAUAAUAUAUUAUUACCGGUGCUGUUUGAACGAUAGUACGGAUGUUUUUCCAUUGCAUUCACUAUGUCAAUUGGAAACAGGCGGUUGAUUGAAUAUUAUAAUUCUUCUCUUUCUUCUUCUCCUUUCUCUACGAUUCUCUACGAUUCUCUAAGAGUUUUGGCCGCCAUCACAAUAUCCCACAAUUGCAAGAUUUGAACGCUGAUUAUUUGAUGGUAUCAUAACAAUUGAGUUUUUACAAAGCGGGGUUGUUGGCCCCGCGAUCAACCCCCAACCCAGAGGACCGAUUGAAUAUUAUUAGGUAUUAUUUAUUUAAUAUUAUAUAUUAUUAUUGUGUUACCGCAGCUAUAUAGUAUUAUGUUCUCACAAAAAUAGUUCGGUCGCAACCAAUUUCUGGCGAGUACCUAUAAUAUAUUCGCGUGUAAAUCACCUCAAAGUCACAUGAUGAAGACGAAGUCAUAGAAAAAACAUCGUAUUGUUUACGUGCCAUGAAGAAAAAUACAAAUAUUAUACGAGUGCAGUACGAAGUCAAGUGGUGGUGUUGUGCCCACGGCGGCACGACGUCGACACAAAUGAUAUUUGAGAUGGGUUACGUAAUCCAUUGAUAGAUUAGAACUAAUAACCACUAUACGAGUCGGCGGCAUUAUGAUAAUUAUUAUUUUUACGUCGCAGUCGUAGUCGUCGUGUGAAUUCCAGCUCGAAGAGAGCGCUGUUACAUUAUUUAUAUAGCUAUAAUUAUUAUUUUACUCGUAAACACCGCGUACUUACAACAAACCAUAUACUCGGUUUACGGUUUGUCUGAUUUUUCGCCGUCAUCGUAACCGUUGAAUGUAUUACUAUUGGAUUUGAACGACGGCGUAACCGUGUGAACAAUAUUUCCUUAAACUCACGAUCUAGUUCAGUUACUCUUAUUAGUAAGUUAUAGUUUCCAAUCGUAUCUAUAUAUAGUUGGAUAGAAAUCUAAUUAGCAAUUCGUAUUGAACUUUGGUCCAAAAACUACGCAAUAAUAUCACAAAAAAUAAACAGGAGAUCGAAGGACGCAGCAGCAAUCAAAUGGAAAACAAAUCGCGGUGCAUGCAGGACAGGGCGGGUUAUGAAGGUUUCGAGUUGCUGGGCUUCAAAUUCGAAAUGGAAGAUACUGCGUUUUCCAUGGUCGCCACUGCCUUGUUCAUGGUGCUCUUUUACUUUGGGCUUUAUAUCAGACAGUGCGACGACGAAAGCAAUGCACUUGGCAUAGAGAGAUUCAAUUGAUAUGCAGCUGCAGUGGUAUACUACACCUUGCGAAGUCCACCCGGGCAGCGCUCUCUAUGGUGUUUGAGUGGGGAGGGGGGGAAGUCACUACGUUUAUCUUUGCAAUACGAUUGUGGUACCUGAGAAACGCUAUAUAAUAUAGUAUAUAGGUGAUAUAGUAGGUGAUCUAGUAUCCACGGUUGAUUUAUACAGAGUACAAUUUUUUAUUUUUAAAAAAAUUAUGAAAACAAAUGGCGCACGGUCGGUGUGGUGGAAGAUCGUAUAAAAAAUAAAUAAAUAACAUUUCGUCGUUGGUGGGAGGCGUGGUGGGCUACACAUACAUUUUGAAAAUAAUAAAAAAAAAAAACAAUCAUAUUUUUAAUUUAUUUUUUAAGUCAAUGCCCGCGGAUGACUGAAUAUAUUUCGAUAUCGUAGAGCUGUCAAUAUUUUAUACGUUUAUAUGAAUACUAUCUAUUAUUAUUUAUUCACAACGGCAAAAUCGCAAAAAUUAUUUAGUGGUUAAUUUUUUUGAAAAUGUUGAUGUAGGUACCUAAUUCAAAAUUCAAAUGAUUAGUUUCUUAGUAGUUAUUAAAAUGUAUGUAUUAAGGAUAAUAAUAUAAUAUAAUAUAGUCCUUAAAACUCGUUUUACAAAUCAUUAAUGUUUUGAAAUUAAUAUUAAUGAAUACAAUUAUCUAAUCAAUGUAUAGUCCCCAUAUCUUAAAACCCAUUACCAUGGACCUUUUAUCCUUACAACACAAAGUUAAAUAACUCAAAAUAAUUCUUUCGCAUUUUGAUUCUGAUUCUACAUUUUUUUCAGAAAAAUUAUCCACUACAUAAUUUACAAUUGAAAGGGGGGGGGGGUGUCUUAUUUAAAAAACAGAAGUUUGCUUUCCUCAAGCAGUACAAAAAAUUUCAAGAAUUUGAAAAUAUGGGUUUUAAGUAUAUUUAAAAGUUCUGAAAACCAGAUUUUGAAUAACUACAUUAUUGAAAUAAAAAAAAGGUGGUGAGCAUGCUUGUAGGUAUAUACAUACCAUAUCGUAUACCCGUAAAGAGUACAAGGAAUACGUACUCAUAACAUAAGUAUUAUAUAAUAUAAUAUAUUAUAAUGUCUGUAAGAAAUAAUUGUCAAAACCCAACAUGUUUGUGAAUAUUGUAUACAUGUACCUAUAUUAUAUUGUUGAUCGUAUUUUUUUAAUAAUAUUAUAUAUUUUUGUUGUUGUA
Molecule: RNA transcript, 3055 nt
Organism: Acyrthosiphon pisum (pea aphid)
Lineage: Eukaryota; Metazoa; Arthropoda; Insecta; Hemiptera; Aphididae
Exons: 2
Source: RefSeq, a predicted model, not a curated record